RNAcentral lists this ribosomal RNA (407 nucleotides) under uncultured eukaryote. RNAcentral's name for it is "SSU rRNA". It matches the Rfam family "Eukaryotic small subunit ribosomal RNA", at positions 567 to 972 of the family's 1831-position model. The record is from RNAcentral.
CCAGCAGCUGCGGUAAUUCCAGCUCCAAUAGCGUAUAUUAAAGUUGCUGCAGUUAAAAAGCCCGUAGUUGGAUCUUGGGAGCUGGCGGGCGGUCCGCCGCGAGGCGAGCCACCGCCCGUCCCCGCCCCUUGCCUCUCGGCGCCCCCUCGAUGCUCUUAGCUGAGUGUCCCGCGGGGCCCGAAGCGUUUACUUUGAAAAAAUUAGAGUGUUCAAAGCAGGCCCGAGCCGCCUGGAUACCGCCGCUAGGAAUAAUGGAAUAGGACCGCGGUUCUAUUUUGUUGGUUUUCGGAACUAAGGCCAUGAUUAAGAGGGACGGCCGGGGGCAUUCGUAUUGAGCAGCUAGAGGUGAAAUUCUUGGACCGGCACAAGACGGACCAGAGCGAGAGCAUUUGCCAAGAAUGUUUUCA